UUUCCAUUCCAUCUCCAGGCUAUAGAAUCUUCAUUUGCAGUUCUGUUUCUGGAACUUUACUGAUUUAUCUUCCUUCUCAAUAUAGGCAUUUGUUUCCUGCAUUUCUGAAGAUCUCAUUCCUGGACCAGUGUUGAGGAAGCCACCCGUGAGGCCAACAAGCAGAGAGCUGGAUCAGAAGUGGAGCAGUCAAGACUGGAACUGGUGCUCUUAUGGAAUGCCAGGGUGGACGAUUAGACUGCUGACUGCCACCAUGCCAGCACCUGGGGGACAUCAUAUACCCAACCCAUAUUACCAUCAUAAUGAAUUUUAUUUUUCAACUAGGUUUCUUUAUUAUUUCUUUUCUUUUCUUUUUUUUUGGGGGGGGGAUUAGGCAUUUAUUUUUUAAUGAAAGAUCAGUGGGUAGCUGUUUUAAUGUUACUGCCCUUGACUUUAAUUGUGUGAGCCAGAAUCAGAAAAUGAUCAAUAGACCAUCAUAUUUUAAAAGUCAUUUUGGUUAAAUAUAAAAGCCCAGUUUCAAAAUUUGUUAGGCUGGCAAAGCCUUUGAGAAACCUAUGGCAUUCUAUGUCAGGCAAAAUAGCAGAAAUUUUCCAAUGACAGUGAACAUUUUUAGUUGCUUCAAGGAGGGUACAAAUGUAGAUUAUAGGUAUAGCUGGCAUUCUGGAAACAACUGAAGAAGAAAAAGAUUGAGUUUAGAAGGAGGAAAAUACAUGUCACAACAUGCUAGUCAAUAAAUGCUUUGACUCUUAUUAGGGAGUAGAUUAAAGUCCAGCAAAAGGACAGUCAUAUGGGCACUGAAGAUUGAAAGGAUAUUGUUUCAUAUCAAGGGAAAAAUGUUCAUGAAUAUUGAGUAGAGAACAGUUAAAUUGAUAAGGAUCUCCGUUCUCUCAUGGAACUCUGCUACCAUGGCAUUUCUCAGCUUAAAGUGAGAAGCUUCAAUCUGUGUUAUGUAUCUGCUAAGUCAGUGAUAGUAAAUUUCGGAUGAGUCAGGAAUCAACAUGCAGACCUCAGGGACAGGUGUAGCCAUCUGAAAAAUGCAAAGUAGGACCAUGAAGUUAAAGAUUUCUAAGUCUAUACUUUUAGGAACUCCGGAAAUUUUCUCUUCCCAGACAUCCUUCCACCACAACUACUCCAGACUCAACUCAGUUACAUGAACAUGUGUGAUCUUCUUCAGGUAGCACUUAGCUUUUGCCAUAAUGAUGCACUCAGUCAUUAAGUCCUUGCUUGGAGGACAAGAGGAGGCUAG
Ochotona curzoniae (black-lipped pika) is the source of this 1243-nucleotide long non-coding RNA. RefSeq lists it as uncharacterized. The record is from RefSeq and is a predicted model, not a curated record. NCBI's taxonomy places the organism in Eukaryota, Metazoa, Chordata, Mammalia, Lagomorpha, Ochotonidae. The transcript is spliced from 2 exons.